This 2037-nucleotide ribosomal RNA is filed under the name Triticum aestivum (bread wheat). RNAcentral describes it as "partial small subunit ribosomal RNA". Lineage: Eukaryota; Viridiplantae; Streptophyta; Magnoliopsida; Poales; Poaceae. The record is from RNAcentral.
AUGUCCAUGCUGUCGCUGCAGCUGCUCCUUCUCCCGCUCGCCUCCUUCCUGCGCACGGCUGCAUCCACCACCGGCACCGGCAGCAACGGGAGCUGCACGCAGCGGUCAUGCGGGGGCCUCACCAUCAGGUACCCCUUCUCCCUCGCCGGCGCGCAGCCGCUCUACUGCGGCUACCCGGCCUUCGACCUUACCUGCGACAACGGCACCCGCCGCUCCUACCUGAGCAACACGUUCAGGGAGCACCUGUUCCGCGUCGACAACAUCUCCUACGUGGACAACACCAUGAUGGCUGCCGUGCAGACCGCCUUCGCCGGCGACAGCGGCUGCCCCGUCCCCGACUUCAACCUGACGACCAGCCUCGCCCUCUUCCCGUUCAACAUCAGCUCCACGAACAAGCGCCUCGUGUUCUUCUACAACUGCACCGUGCCGGCUGAGAUUCGGCUGCGGCGCUCGUGUGGAAACCACGCGAUGGGAGCGUACAUCUCGGGUCAUUGGGACGGCGGCGGCGAAAACGGCACGCUGCCGCAGGGGGUUUCCACCAACUGUAGCUCGGUGAGCGUGCCGGUGCGCCGAGGACUGGAUCGAGCUCAUGAGCAGUACGAGCGGCUAAUCAGGGAUGGAUUCCUCCUGAAGCUUCCAGCGCCGCUAGGGGGCUGCGAUCGAUGCACACACCUGAGCGGCGGGGAGUGCAGGUUCGAUCAGUUUGCGUUCCAGUGCGUCUGCCCUGACGGGAAGUUCUGCCUUAAUUCCACCGAAACCAACUCAACAACCCAUCCAGACACAGAUACAGCAGGUACAGGUGCAGAUAAAAAUGUUGGAAUGAAGUUUGUCACAGGAAUCACAAGUGCUGUUCUGUUUGUCAUCAUACUGGGGCUCGUGUGCCAUCUUGUACAACUCAACCGAGCCAAGAACAAGAAACGAUCUGCGUCGAUGGACGGCCUCAUCCGUGAAGGAUCGCCGUUGGCAUCGCUCCGGAAGGAGCUCAACCUCGCCGGCUCGCCGUGCACACACAUCUUCACCUACGAGGAGCUCGACGCGGCCACCGACGGCUUUGGCAACGCCAACGAGCUCGGCGCCGGCGGCUUCGGCACAGUCUACAAGGGGGUUCUCCGGGACGGGAGCGUGGUGGCCGUGAAGCGGCUGUACAAGAACAGCUACAAGGGCGUGGAGCAGUUCGCCAACGAGGUGGACAUCCUCUCGCGUCUGCGCCACCCCAACCUCGUCGCGCUCUAUGGCUGCACCUCCUCCUCGCCGACCUGCCGCGACCUCCUCCUCGUCUACGAGUUCGUCCCCAACGGCACGCUCGCCGAUCACCUCCACCACGGCAAGGACGGCGGCGGCGAUCCUCUCCUCCUCCCGUGGCCGACCCGCCUCGGCAUCGCCGUCGAGACGGCCGCCGCGCUGGCCUACCUCCACGUGCACCAGGUCGUGCACCGGGACGUCAAGACGACCAACAUCCUCCUCGACGACGGGUUCCACGUCAAGGUGGCCGACUUCGGGCUGUCCCGGCUGUUCCCGGCGGACGGUGCCACGCAGCACGUGUCCACCGCGCCGCAGGGCACGCCCGGGUACGUCGACCCGGCGUACCACCAUCGGUACCAGCUCACGGACAAGAGCGACGUAUACAGCUUCGGAGUGGUCCUCGUCGAGCUCGUGUCCUCCAGGCCGGCGGUGGACAUGGCCCGGGCCGGCACCGACGUGAACCUGGGCUGCAUGGCCGUGCGCAUGAUACAGUGCUGCGAGAUCGACCGGCUGGUCGACCCGCGGCUAGGGUACGGGUCGUCGGCGAGCGAGACGAAGGGGACGAUCGACCUGGUGGCUGAGGUGGCGUUCCGGUGCCUGCAGCCGGAACAGGACGUGCGGCCGUCCAUCGGCGAGGUGCUGGACGUGCUCAGGCAGGCGCACCAGAGGAUCACGGAGAAGGGAGCCUCGGCCACCACAAAUGGUGCGGUGUUGCUGAAGAAGAGCAGGGACGGGUCGCCUGACUCCGUCAUGCACCAGUGGAUCAGCCCCUCGUCCACCUCCAACAGCACCUGA